CCUACGUGAGGCAGCAGUGAGGAAUAUUUGUCAAUGGACGAGAGUCUGAACCAGCCAAGUAGCGUGAAGGAUGACUGCCCUAUGGGUUGUCAACUUCUUUUAUAUGGGAAUAAAAUGUUCCACGUGUGGGAUUUUGUAUGUACCAUAUGAAUAAGGAUCGGCUAACUCCGUGCCAGCAGCCGCGGUAAUACGGAGGAUCCGAGCGUUAUACGGAUUUAUUGGGUUUAAAGGGAGCGUAGGUGGAUUGUUAAGGCAGUUGUGAAAGUUUGCGGCUCAACCGUAAAAUUGCAGUUGAAACUGGCAGUCUUGAGUAAAGUAGAGGUGGGCGGAAGUCGUGGUGUAGAGGUGAAAUGCUUAGAUAUCACGAAGAACUCCGAUUGCGAAGGCAGUUCACUGGACUGCAACUGACACUGAGGCUCGAAAGUGUGGGUAUCAAACAGGAUUAGAUACCCGAGUAGUC
This 460-nucleotide ribosomal RNA is filed under the name uncultured bacterium. RNAcentral describes it as "partial 16S ribosomal RNA". It matches the Rfam family "Bacterial small subunit ribosomal RNA", at positions 338 to 795 of the family's 1533-position model. The record is from RNAcentral.